GAGAGAGAGAGAGAGAGAGAGAGAGAGAGAGAGAGAGAGAGAGAGAAUCUUAAGCAGGUUCCAUGAUCACUGCAGAUCCCAACUCUGGGCUGGAUCCCACAGUCCUGGGAUUAUGACCUGAGCUGGAAUUAAGAAACACUCAACCAUUUGAGUCACGCAGGUGCCCCAGUAAUACACUAUUUAAGUGAAAAGGAUUUACAUGCUGUUGCUACGCAAAGUGCCUGUGCCUCUUCUGGAAUUGCCAUUGGGUGGAGGGAAUCAUCUCUCUAAAAGGAAGCUGAUUUCAGUUCAGCUGCUUGGAUGUGGGUUUCAACACCAUGAUGAGUUAACUUCUGAAUAGGAAAUUUGGAAAUACAGUCUUUGUUCCAUCUUGAAAAAUUUAAUGAAAAUGUAUCUACCAGAUAUUAAAUUGUUUCCCUGCUGCAAA
Molecule: long non-coding RNA, 427 nt
Organism: Herpailurus yagouaroundi (jaguarundi)
Lineage: Eukaryota; Metazoa; Chordata; Mammalia; Carnivora; Felidae
Exons: 2
Source: RefSeq, a predicted model, not a curated record